AGGUGCUGCAUGGCUGUCGUCAGCUCGUGUCGUGAGAUGUUGGGUUAAGUCCCGCAACGAGCGCAACCCUUAUCUUCAGUUACCAUCAUUCAGUUGGGGACUCUGGAGAUACUGCCCCGGUUAACGGGGAGGAAGGUGGGGAUGACGUCAAGUCCUCAUGGCCUUUAUAUCCAGGGCUACACACGUGCUACAAUGGUCCGUACAAAGGGUUGCGAGCCUGCGAGGGUGAGCUAAUCCCGUAAAGCGGAUCUCAGUUCGGAUUGGAGUCUGCAACUCGACUUCAUGAAGUUGGAAUCGCUAGUAAUCGUGGAUCAGCAUGCCACGGUGAAUACGUUCCCGGGCCUU
This 345-nucleotide ribosomal RNA is filed under the name uncultured Desulfobacterium sp. RNAcentral describes it as "bacterial SSU rRNA". It matches the Rfam family "Bacterial small subunit ribosomal RNA", at positions 1036 to 1382 of the family's 1533-position model. Lineage: Bacteria; Pseudomonadati; Thermodesulfobacteriota; Desulfobacteria; Desulfobacterales; Desulfobacteriaceae. The record is from RNAcentral.